Ornithodoros turicata is the source of this 365-nucleotide long non-coding RNA. RefSeq lists it as uncharacterized. NCBI's taxonomy places the organism in Eukaryota, Metazoa, Arthropoda, Arachnida, Ixodida, Argasidae. The record is from RefSeq and is a predicted model, not a curated record. The transcript has 4 exons.
CGAACGCAUUUUGGCUUAUGGCUGCAAGUGGUGCUUCCAAUCAUCUGAGGAAGUCUUCAUCACAUCGACACAGUUCCUCUGCAUGCUUCCAGCAAACACCUUCCAGGAGCAUUUGCAGCGGUUGUUGUGAUGCUGGCAUAAGUACACAUCAUGCACGAGGGACAUUGAUGGACAAGGUUUUCGCCGACUAUCUCAAGUGAAUUCCCUGACCAAAACAAAAGAGAACUUGCUGCUUACUGCUACAUUCUGAUGCUGAUCCUUCAUAAAGGAAACCAGUUAUCGAAAAAUUAGUUGGCACCCAGUGCACCAGUUCAAAAUCUUGUUCAAAGUCUUACAGUUAAGAAACUGCAGCCUUUGACCCGAAG